CAGACUGAUAAUAGAAGUAUUACAAAUGAAAACAAUAAUAACAAACAAUGAAACUAUAAUAAAACAAGAACACAGAAAAUAUACAGAUCAUUUAAAUGGUUUCUGUACAUAAUUUUUAUCCACAGAAAUGGUCACCUUUAAUUCUUUGUCAGGUUAAAAGCAGUAAUUUGUGACCAAACCGUGUUACAAGUAAAACAUCUAAUGGUUUUAGUUUUGCUUUAUGAAGAUAUGAAGAGGUAAAAUCACAAAAAUACUGAGCUAAGAGGAAAAUCAAUUCGGAAAGUCCAUAAUCACAUGGCAAAAUCAAAUAACAAAACGCAUCAAAAACGAAUGGACAAGAACUGUCAUAUUCCUGACUUGGUACAGACAUUUUCAAAUGUAGAAAAUGGUGGAUUAAAC
This 399-nucleotide long non-coding RNA is filed under the name Mytilus galloprovincialis (Mediterranean mussel). The record is from RNAcentral. Lineage: Eukaryota; Metazoa; Mollusca; Bivalvia; Mytilida; Mytilidae.